GAUGAACGCUGGCGGCGUGCCUAAUACAUGCAAGUCGAGCGAACAGAUAAGGAGCUUGCUCCUUUGACGUUAGCGGCGGACGGGUGAGUAACACGUGGGUAACCUACCUAUAAGACUGGGAUAACUUCGGGAAACCGGAGCUAAUACCGGAUUACAUUUGGAACCGCAUGGUUCUAAAGUGAAAGAUGGUUUUGCUAUCACUUAUAGAUGGACCCGCGCCGUAUUAGCUAGUUGGUAAGGUAACGGCUUACCAAGGCGACGAUACGUAGCCGACCUGAGAGGGUGAUCGGCCACGCUGGAACUGAGACACGGUCCAGACUCCUACGGGAGGCAGCAGUAGGGAAUCUUCCGCAAUGGGCGAAAGCCUGACGGAGCAACGCCGCGUGAGUGAUGAAGGGUUUCGGCUCGUAAAACUCUGUUAUUAGGGAAGAACAAAUGUGUAAGUAACUGUGCACGUCUUGACGGUACCUAAUCAGAAAGCCACGGCUAACUACGUG
RNAcentral lists this ribosomal RNA (497 nucleotides) under uncultured bacterium. Its description in RNAcentral is "partial 16S ribosomal RNA". It matches the Rfam family "Bacterial small subunit ribosomal RNA", at positions 28 to 507 of the family's 1533-position model. The record is from RNAcentral.